Molecule: long non-coding RNA, 1022 nt
Filed under: Ananas comosus (pineapple)
Lineage: Eukaryota; Viridiplantae; Streptophyta; Magnoliopsida; Poales; Bromeliaceae
Description: long non-coding RNA (ACOM_LNC019766)
Source: RNAcentral
UAAUUUCUUUCCAAUUAGAAUAAUUGUCCCCAGUAAGCAUAGGAAUACGAGAAACAUCAUUAAGAAAUGCAGUAGAGGAAGAAGCUGCAAAAACAAAGAAAAAAUUAAACUUUAUCGCCUACUAUAAGAUAAUAAUCUUUAGAUUAAAUAAAUUCUACCUUCCUAUGGGCAGAGGCGCUACACACAUAGAAUUUAUCUACUUUAAUAAUAAGACUAGCAGAAAACUAAUUUCUAAAUAACAAGAUUUCUGUACCUGUGGGCAUAAGAAAACUCGCUAUCUAGAAAUUCAACCUACUAUCUUAUUCCAGUCAAAAAUAAGAAAAUUAUUUUAUUUGACUGUAAUAAAUAGUCAAACUUUAAUUCAAUAUCAGUAAUACCUUAUAUAUGUUUCAUUAUCUAUAGGAUGCUGUGGCUACUCCUGAGUAUAAUGAAAAUUACAAAUAACCUUAUUUGACAUUGAAUGACUAUUUAAAAUUAAAUUAGGAAUUCAUAUGAAUUUUCGGGUUAACUUUAAAUCAAUAUCAUCUUAUAAAAAUACCAUAAGUGAUCAAAUAUCAUGACUAGGAUGCUGUGGCUACUCCUAGACAUAAUUAAUCUCACAUUAAUCUUUAUAUGAUAUUGAAUGACCGAAAAUUUCAUAUUAUUUCAAAAUGCAGCAGAAAAAUAAUAAAAGUUUUUGAAUAAUUUUCUUAACAACUUUAUGUGACUCAAAGAUUAUAAAAUGUAUGAAGUCUAUAUUCUCUACUCUUAAAUUUUUAUGAUCACCUUAUAUAUGUUUAGAAUAAUAAUGCAAAAAUAUACCGUAAAAUAUUAAAUUAAACAUAUUACUUUAUAUCAUGAAUAAACAAACGAGUAGAACAAAAAAUUAUAUAUAACAAAUACCAAAAGUUAUAUAUAACUUUAAUAUAUAGACUUCUUCAUAAAUAAGUCACGUUAGAAAAUUAUUAACCAAAACUAUAAUACAUAUAUAUCUCUAUAAUCUUUUCAUUAAAAACAAAUAAAUAAAUAAAUUUUAUUAUGUC